CCAAUAGCGUAUAUUAAAGUUGUUGCAGUUAAAAAGCUCGUAGUUGAACCUCGGGGUCUACCCAUUGGUCAGGCUUAAUUGUCUGUACUGGUGAGAUGUAUCUCUACCUUCUGAGGAACUUUCAUGCCAUUUAUUUGGUGUGAUGGGAAAUCAGGACUGUUACUUUGAAAAAAUUAGAGUGUUUAAAGCAGACUAUCGUCUGAAUACAUUAGCAUGGAAUAAUGAAAUAGGACUGACUGAUUCUAUUUCGUUGGUUUCUAGGAUCACCGUAAUGAUUAAUAGGGAUAGUUGGGGGCAUUAGUAUUCAAUUGUCAGAGGUGAAAUUCUUGGAUUUAUUGAAGACUAACUACUGCGAAAGCAUUUGCCAAGGAUGUUUUCAUUAAUCAAGAACGAAAGUUAGGGGAUCGAAGACGAUCAGAUACCGUCGUAGUCUUAACCAUAAACUAUGCCGACUAGGGAUCGGACGAAGUUAAUUUUAUAAUGACGCGUUCGGCACCUUACG
This 502-nucleotide ribosomal RNA is filed under the name uncultured Glomeromycotina. Its description in RNAcentral is "partial small subunit ribosomal RNA". It matches the Rfam family "Eukaryotic small subunit ribosomal RNA", at positions 591 to 1092 of the family's 1831-position model. Lineage: Eukaryota; Fungi; Glomeromycota. The record is from RNAcentral.